Molecule: transfer RNA, 65 nt
Filed under: Lens contradens
Lineage: Eukaryota; Metazoa; Mollusca; Bivalvia; Unionida; Unionidae
Description: tRNA-Met
Source: RNAcentral
AACUAGGUAAGCUAAACACUAAGCUGUUGGGCUCAUAACCCAAAAAUGAUUUCACUCCCUAGCUA